GAUGAACGCUGGCGGCGUGCCUAAUACAUGCAAGUCGAGCGAACAGACGAGGAGCUUGCUCCUCUGACGUUAGCGGCGGACGGGUGAGUAACACGUGGAUAACCUACCUAUAAGACUGGGAUAACUUCGGGAAACCGGAGCUAAUACCGGAUAAUAUAUUGAACCGCAUGGUUCAAUAGUGAAAGACGGUUUUGCUGUCACUUAUAGAUGGAUCCGCGCCGCAUUAGCUAGUUGGUAAGGUAACGGCUUACCAAGGCAACGAUGCGUAGCCGACCUGAGAGGGGGGUAGGCCGCACGGGAAGUGGAACGCGGUCCAGAGGACUGCGGGAGGCAGCAGUAGGGUAUCUUCGGCAAUGGGGGAAAGCUUGACGGAGCAAGGGGGAGUGUGUGACGACGGUCUUCGGUUCGUAAAGAUCGGUUAUGAGGGAAGAACAAAUGUGUAAGUAACUAAGGCCGUAUUGACGGUAACGAGUCAGAAAGCACCGGCUAACUACGUG
This 497-nucleotide ribosomal RNA is filed under the name uncultured bacterium. Its description in RNAcentral is "partial 16S ribosomal RNA". It matches the Rfam family "Bacterial small subunit ribosomal RNA", at positions 28 to 507 of the family's 1533-position model. The record is from RNAcentral.